Long non-coding RNA from Trachymyrmex septentrionalis, 220 nucleotides. RefSeq lists it as uncharacterized. The record is from RefSeq and is a predicted model, not a curated record. NCBI's taxonomy places the organism in Eukaryota, Metazoa, Arthropoda, Insecta, Hymenoptera, Formicidae. The transcript is spliced from 3 exons.
CCGCAAGUCCUUUACGUGAAGCUGCGAGAAAAUGCUUACCAAAUCUGACAAUCUGAUGAGCGACGUGAUUCUACGUAGUGACGCAAUGUAUACGACUUCGGUUUUACUUUAUCUAAUUUGGCAUUUGGACAAAGAAGAACGAAUUAAUUUGUCGGGAAACAUCAACUUGGAAUUUGCGUUAUUUAUGUAAUUUCGAUUUAUAUUUUAUAUCAAUAAGGAC